Molecule: ribosomal RNA, 417 nt
Filed under: uncultured eukaryote
Lineage: Eukaryota
Description: bacterial SSU rRNA
Rfam family: Eukaryotic small subunit ribosomal RNA
Source: RNAcentral
CAAUAGCAUAUAUUAAAGUUGUUGCAGUUAAAAGCUCGUAGUUGGAUUUCUGGCAUGAUGCGCCUGGCCCGCCUCAAUUCUGAGUGUGUGUGCGAGUGCGCGUCUGCCAAUCCAUUUGCAGAAUGUGCCUACUCUUCAUUGAGCCGGGUACGUGAUGUAAAUCUUUUACUUUGAAAAAUUAGAGUGUUUAAAGCAGGCAUUUGCUAUGAAUACAUUAGCAUGGAAUAAUAAUCUAGGACUUCGGUUCUAUUUUGUUGGUUUCUAGAUCUGAAGUAAUGAUUGAUAGGGGAUAGUUGGGGGCAUUCGUAUUUAAACUGUCAGAGGUGAAAUUCUUGGAUUUUGUUAAAAGACGGACUACUGCGAAAAGCAUUUGCCAAGGAUGUUUUUCAUUGAUCAAGAACGAAAGUUAGGGGGAUC